RNAcentral lists this small RNA (467 nucleotides) under Pan troglodytes (chimpanzee). RNAcentral describes it as "retained intron". Lineage: Eukaryota; Metazoa; Chordata; Mammalia; Primates; Hominidae. The record is from RNAcentral.
AUCCAGAUGGUGCAAACUAAUUGUGUUGUCUCUUUGUUAGCCCUCGCUUAGGAGUUACAGGAGAGAAAAGCCUGCAAGAAAAUAGGUCUAGUGAAGACACCCAGGAUGAGAAGAUUGCACCGUUGCGUGAAUCAGUUACUGAUGACCUCCAGGUUGAUAGUAGUUCAUCAAAUAGUGAACUAGUAUCAGGAUUAAGUUUGCACCAUGGUAUGGCCAGUUCUCUUCUGAGCUAUUCAGUCACAGACUCUUAUGCAGAAUACGAGAGUUUUGAAGAGAGCUUUCCAUCACCUGAACUGUUCAGAAAAUCAGAUUAUUUAGACUGGGAGUGUCCCAACUUGGAAGAACACAUGCAGUGGAAGAAUUCUACUCUUCUGGAUACCAGUAAAGCAGUAGCAAUAGAGAAGGCACCACAGUUUUCAAAUGUCUCUGCAAUUUUCAGUACCUCUUCAGAAGACUAUCAGAAAUGC